AUGGAGAAAACACAAAUAAGCAAGAAACAGAAGUACACCCAUCCUGCUCCCAGCACACGGGAGAAUCAGGACACUAGCUGGAACCACACUGACAGGUCCCAGGAGAGAGACAGGAGGCAGAGUGGGAACAGAGGGGGUGUGGCUGUCAGGAGGGGUGUGGCUGUCACAGAGCAGGGGUGUGACUGUCAGGAGGGGGUGUGGCUGUCACAGAGCAGGGGUGUGGCUGCCACAGAGGAGGUGUGGCUGCCACAGAGGAGGGGAUGUGGCUGUUACAGGAGGAGGUAUGGCUGUCACAGAGGAGGGGUGUGGCUGUCACAGAGCAGGGGUGUGGCUGCCACAGAGGAGGGGGUGUGGCUGUCACAGGAGGAGAUAUGGCUGUCACAGCAGGGGGUGUGGCUGUCAGGAGGGGUUGUGGCUGCCACAGAGCAGGGGUGUGGCUGUCACAGAGGAGGGGGUGUGGCUGUCAGGAGGGGGUGUGGCUCUCAGGAGAGGGUGUGGCUGUUACAGAGCAUGGGUGUGGCUCUUACAGAGCAUGGGGGUGGCUGUCACAGAAGGAGGUAUGGCUCUCACAGAGCAGGGGGUGUGGCUGUCAGGAGGGGUUGUGGCUGCCACAGAGCAGGGGUGUGGCUGUCACAGAGGAGGGGGUAUGGCUGUCAGGAGGGGGUGUGGCUGUUACAGAGCAGGGGUGUGGCUGUUACAGAGCAUGGGUGUGGCUGUCACAGAAGGAGGUAUGGCUGUCACAGAGCAGGGGGUGUGACUGUCACAGGAGGAGGUAUGGCUGUCACAGAGCAGGGGGUGUGGCUGUCAGGAGGGGUUGUGGCUAUCACAGAGCAGGGGUGUGGCUGUCACAGAGCAGGGGGUGUGGCUGUCAGGAGGGGUUGUGGCUAUCACAGAGCAGGGGUGUGGCUGUCACAGAGCAGGGGUGUGGCUGUCACAGAAGGAGGUAUGGCUGUCAGAGGAGGGGGUGUGGCUGUCAGGAGGGGUUGUGGCUAUCACAGAGGAGGGGUGUGGCUGUCAUGCCCUCAGCUUUGCUUUGUUUUCCUUCCAAGGACUCGGAUGUUCUCGUCGCUCCACCACCUCCAGGUUUCUAAAGCCCAGGAAGACGGGGUCUAA
RNAcentral lists this long non-coding RNA (1113 nucleotides) under Oryctolagus cuniculus (rabbit). RNAcentral describes it as "lncRNA (ENSOCUG00000030478.1)". The record is from RNAcentral. Lineage: Eukaryota; Metazoa; Chordata; Mammalia; Lagomorpha; Leporidae.